This is a long non-coding RNA of Melitaea cinxia (Glanville fritillary), 390 nucleotides long. RefSeq lists it as uncharacterized. The record is from RefSeq and is a predicted model, not a curated record. The transcript is spliced from 2 exons. NCBI's taxonomy places the organism in Eukaryota, Metazoa, Arthropoda, Insecta, Lepidoptera, Nymphalidae.
GGUUCAUAUUUGACAGUUGGGUCUCAAGAGGGUGGAUCAGGAGGGGCGGGCGGCCCAGUAGCAGGUGGUUGAAGAAGCUUUGCUGCUGCAGGAAGACCUGCUAGGUCGAAACCAGGCGGUGGAACAAUACCAGCAGCUGUCGCCGUGCCUUAGCGCUGGCUUGCAUAAGAAUAUAGUUUUUUGCAAGAAGUAACGUUGCUAUUUUUGAAAGCUUUCGAACUGAUGGCGAAUGAGCAUAGGGAAUGACACUGCGCAAUUCGUCGAGCGCGUCGUUCUGUAGAUAGAAAAAUUAUACAAAGGUUAAUUAUUAUUAGUAAACUAGUAUAGUAGAUAAUUUAGUAUCAUCCUCCUGUCUAAUAAAAAAUAAAUAAUAAAAUUGGACUACGAAUG